This 737-nucleotide precursor RNA is filed under the name Oryza sativa Indica Group (long-grained rice). RNAcentral describes it as "putative precursor microRNA R172a". The stretch from base 431 to 539 matches the Rfam family "mir-172 microRNA precursor family". The record is from RNAcentral. Lineage: Eukaryota; Viridiplantae; Streptophyta; Magnoliopsida; Poales; Poaceae.
AUAAGUAGUACUCCCUCCGUUUAAAAAAAACCUAACUCUAGAUUUAAAUCUGGACAUAGUGUAUAUCCAAAUUCAAACCCAGAAUUUAAUUUCUUUUUUUGACAGAGGGUGUAUAUUACUAUAUAUUAUAUCACUUUCAUCUUCGUGCACUUGCUGGCGCUGCCAACUGUGCCACGUAGACUACCAUUAAGCUCCUUUAAUUAACUCGAUCUACUUCUGACAGAUGUACUCCUAUAUAGUAUGACAGUGCUCUCUCGUCUACCUGCAAUGCAAAUUGGAGUAAACCCCUAGCUAGAAGAGGCUAGAGAAGAGCAAAUCUCUCCCUUCUCCCUUGUGUCCAAUGCAUCUCUUGAAUUUACUGUACUCUGGAGUAGAAGAUACGAACAAUGCUCAGUAGUACAGUAAAUCCAUGGAUGGAACGGUAGAGUCGGUGUUUGCGGGCGUGGCAUCAUCAAGAUUCACAUCCAUGCAUAUAUCACAAGACGCACAUAUACAUCCGAUUUGGCUGAGAAUCUUGAUGAUGCUGCAUCCGCAGACAAGCGCCUUUUUUUCUUUUCAAAGGUAAGCUCCUCUGCUAUUCAAAGACCAUACAUUAGUUGUUCAUCAUCUUCAUCCUUGUUACUCCCUCCGUUUCACAAUGUAAAACAUCCUAGCAUUUUUCACAUUCAUAUUGAUACUAAUGAAUCUAGACAUCUUACAUUGUGAAACGGUGAAACGGAGAGAGUAUUAUAUAUGGC